GAGUUUGAUCGUGGCUCAGGACGAACGCUGGCGGCGCGCUUAACACAUGCAAGUCGAGCGAGAACCAGGGCUUCGGCUCUGGGGACAGCGGCGAACGGGGUGAGUAACACGUGGGUAAUCCACCCUCGGCACCGGAAUAGCCCGGGGAAACCCGGAUUAAUGCCGGAUGGCCCGUCGACCCUUCGGGGCUGACGGAAAAGGUAGCUUUGGCCUCCGGCCGGGGACGAGCCCGCGGCGGAUUAGCUUGUUGGUGGGGUAACGGCCCACCAAGGCUCCGAUCCGUAGCUGGUCUGAGAGGACGAUCAGCCACACUGGGACUGAGACACGGCCCAGACUCCUACGGGAGGCAGCAGUGGGGAAUCUUGCGCAAUGGGCGAAAGCCUGACGCAGCGACGCCGCGUGGGGGAAGAAGGGCCUUCGGGUUGUAAACCGUCUUUCCUAGGAGGGACGGAAGGACUACUCGGGUUAAGUAG
This 473-nucleotide ribosomal RNA is filed under the name uncultured bacterium. Its description in RNAcentral is "bacterial SSU rRNA". It matches the Rfam family "Bacterial small subunit ribosomal RNA", at positions 9 to 469 of the family's 1533-position model. The record is from RNAcentral.